AUUGAACGCUGGCGGCAGGCCUAACACAUGCAAGUCCAGCGGAUGAAGGGAGCUUGCUCCUGGAUUCAGCGGCGGACGGGUGAGUAAUGCCUAGGAAUCUGCCUGGUAGUGGGGGAUAACGUCCGGAAACGGGCGCUAAUACCGCAUACGUCCUGAGGGAGAAAGUGGGGGAUCUUCGGACCUCACGCUAUCAGAUGAGCCUAGGUCGGAUUAGCUAGUUGGUGGGGUAAAGGCCUACCAAGGCGACGAUCCGUAACUGGUCUGAGAGGAUGAUCAGUCACACUGGAACUGAGACACGGUCCAGACUCCUACGGGAGGCAGCAGUGGGGAAUAUUGGACAAUGGGCGAAAGCCUGAUCCAGCCAUGCCGCGUGUGUGAAGAAGGUCUUCGGAUUGUAAAGCACUUUAAGUUGGGAGGAAGGGCAGUAAGUUAAUACCUUGCUGUUUUGACGUUACCGACAGAAUAAGCACCGGCUAACUUCGUG
This 484-nucleotide ribosomal RNA is filed under the name uncultured bacterium. RNAcentral's name for it is "partial 16S ribosomal RNA". It matches the Rfam family "Bacterial small subunit ribosomal RNA", at positions 30 to 507 of the family's 1533-position model. The record is from RNAcentral.